CUCAGAUUGAACGCUGGCGGAAUGCUUUACACAUGCAAGUCGAACGGGCUUAAGGGGCUUGCUCCUUAAGUUAGUGGCGAACGGGUGAGUAAUAUAUCGGAACGUAUCCAAUAAUGGGGGAUAACUAAUCGAAAGGUUGGCUAAUACCGCAUACGCCCUACGGGGGAAAGCAGGGGAUCUUCGGACCUUGCGUUAAUGGAGCGGCCAAUAUCUGAUUAGCUAGUUGGUGGGGUAAAGGCCCACCAAGGCGACGAUCAGUAGCUGGUCUGAGAGGACGACCAGCCACACUGGGACUGAGACACGGUCCAGACUCCUACGGGAGGCAGCAGUGGGGAAUUUUGGACAAUGGGCGAAAGCCUGAUCCAGCCAUUCCGCGUGAGUGAAGAAGGCCUUCGGGUUGUAAAGCUCUUUCGCAAGGAAAGAAAACUUACUUACUAAUACUAGGUGAGGAUGACGGUACCUUGAUAAGAAGCACCGGCUAACUACGUGCCAGCAGCCGCGGUAAUACGUAGGGUGCGAGCGUUAAUCGGAAUUACUGGGCGUAAAGCGUGCGCAGGCUGUUUUGUAAGUCAGAUGUGAAAUCCCUGGGCUCAACCUAGGAACUGCGUUUGAAACUACAAGGCUAGAGUGUAGCAGAGGGGGGUAGAAUUCCACGUGUAGCAGUGAAAUGCGUAGAGAUGUGGAGGAAUACCAAUGGCGAAGGCAGCCCCCUGGGUUAACACUGACGCUCAUGCACGAAAGCGUGGGGAGCAAACAGGAAUAGAUACCCUGGUAGUCCACGCCCUAAACGAUGUCUACUAAUUUGUUGGGAGAGUAAAAUCUUUUAGUAACGCAGCUAACGCGUGAAGUAGACCGCCUGGGGGAGUACGGUCGCACGAUUAAAAUUCAAAGGAAUUGACGGGGGCCCGCACAAGCGGUGGAUUAUGUGGAUUAAUUCGAUGCAACGCGAAAAACCUUACCUGGCCUUGACAUGCUACUAACGAAGCAGAGAUGCAUUAGGUGCCCGAAAGGGAAAGUAGACACAGGUGCUGCAUGGCUGUCGUCAGCUCGUGUCGUGAGAUGUUGGGUUAAGUCCCGCAACGAGCGCAACCCUUGCCAUUAAUUGCCAUCAUUUAGUUGGGCACUAUAAUGGGACUGCCGGUGACAAACCGGAGGAAGGUGGGGAUGACGUCAAGUCCUCAUGGCCUUUAUGGCCAGGGUUUCACACGUAAUACAACGGUCGGUACAGAGGGUUGCCAACCCGCGAGGGGGAGCCAAUCCCAGAAAGCCGAUCGUAGUCCGGAUUGCAGUGUGCAACUCGACUGCAUGAAGUCGGAAUCGCUAGUAAUCGCGGAUCAGCAUGUCGCGGUGAAUACGUUCCCGGGCCUUGUACACACCGCCCGUCACACCAUGGGAGUGGGUUCCACCAGAAGUAGUUAGUCUAACCGCAAGGAGGACGAUUACCACGGUGGGAUUCAUGACUGGGGUGAAGUCG
RNAcentral lists this ribosomal RNA (1474 nucleotides) under uncultured bacterium. RNAcentral describes it as "bacterial SSU rRNA". It matches the Rfam family "Bacterial small subunit ribosomal RNA". The record is from RNAcentral.